UCUCAGUUCGGACUGUAGGCUGCAACUCGCCUACACGAAGUUGGAAUUGCUAGUAAUCGUGGAUCAGCAUGCCACGGUGAAUACGUUCCCGGGUCUUGUACACACCGCCCGUCACACCAUGGGAGCUGGUAACACCCGAAGUCAGUAGUCUAACCGCAAGGAGGACGCUGCCGAAGGUGGGAUUAGCGACUGGGGUGAAGUCGUAACAAGGUAAC
RNAcentral lists this ribosomal RNA (215 nucleotides) under uncultured bacterium. RNAcentral's name for it is "partial 16S ribosomal RNA". It matches the Rfam family "Bacterial small subunit ribosomal RNA", at positions 1286 to 1500 of the family's 1533-position model. The record is from RNAcentral.